UCUUGUUGCCUUGCAUUUUGCCUUUUUGCGGCAGCUGCGGCCUUUCUUUCCUCUUCAGAGUUAUAUUUCUUAGGAGGCAUGUUUUUUUGCAUACAAUGAUUAUUUUAGUAAAUAGGUAAUAUUAAGUAAAAGCAGAAGAAUAUGGGUAAUUAGUAAUCAAAGUAAACAAUUAGUAAUCAAGUUAUCAAAAUUAUUUUUUUUUUGGAUGAAAUAUAUCUAUGAAAUUUAUUGAAAAUUAAAAUAUUCUGUUAUUUUAAAAUAUGUAUUUAUUUUUAAAAUAAAGUUUUUAAUUUUAAAAUGUUUUCUUUUUUUUUAAAUAUAAUUUUCAUUAUGAUAAUGAUCAGAAUGAUGAUGCGCGCGCAUCCGUGACAGAACCGGCCGGCCGGCCCAUGACGGUCGUGACUAUAUAUGUUGAUUUUACUAUUAUAGACGCGUAUGAUUCGAAUUUUGAUAACAGAUGGCGCGUUAAUGCAUCAUAAUAAAUUUUACUAUUAAAAUAUUGUAUAUGUGAAAAAAAUAGUACAAAUGUGAUAUUGUACUGGGAUAAGGUGCAUACAUUAUGGAGCAGCUUGCACCACGCUGACGAGAGCCAACAGCCCUAAACGCGUACGUUAUAGCUUUUCUUGAUUUACCAAGAAAGGGUAUUUGGCCAAUUCUUGAAUAAUUAAAAAUCAACGAGAAUAGUUGAUAUUUAUUCUGAUAGAUGGUGCAAGCCAUCAGCACUUUUCAGUUUCACGAUAAGGAAAGACCUUUUCCAUUAAAUAUGUGAUUAGUUUUUACUUUGUUUUUCCACUUUAAAUGUGUCUAUUGGGACUUAAUUUAAUAAUUUGGAAGGCUACUUUCCCAUCUAUGCCAUUGAAGAAAAAAUAUUAAAGUUCCUGUCCCAUUGAACGACAAUAUCCAGAAAAACGAUAUUCAUGAUGAGUAUAACUAUUCAGUUAUCCCGAAUCAGAAAAACCAGCAGAAAUAUAAGACCACGAGUUCCGCUAAUCUAGAAAGAAGUCGGUGGGCGAAUGGUUAAAACCCUCGAUUCCAGACAGCCAUGAACCAGGAUCGAAUCUUUUAUUGGAACACUUUGUUUCAAUAUGUGAAUAACCUUCAUAUAAUAUUCAAUGUCUUCUUAUUUCUUAUCUCCACUCAAUCAAAUUAGGGUAAUUUGGCAACCAUCAUGACUGGGUGAAGUAGAAUGCGUCUGCCUUUGUCAUUAAGACUGGGAGCACUACUCAGUGGCAGGCCGACUUAGCGCUCCAAAAGAAAUGGCCGCCUCUGACAUGAGGAACAGACGCCAUGUGCAGCCGAUCCUAAUAUGGAGUACAAACACUGCUCAUCCUGUGUCCCUGGAUUAGGAACCCUUACAGGGUACUAUCAGCCGGGCCAGCUGAACCCAGGUUUUUUAGUGAGCUUGUUACUGCUCCUCCUUUUUCAUCCGGGCUUGGGAACGGCAAAGGCGGAGUUAAUCAUUCAUUGUGAAUAUCAUAACCUGGUUGCGCUCCUUUUGAGCGUUACCUAUUAAAGUUUGUAACUGGAACCGUUUAACUAAGCUUUAGUGGUAGAAUCCACACAUAUAUCCCUUACUGACAAACAAACAUUCACUGCGUACAAGAAUGCGUAGCACAAGUACAAACUUAUAAUUUAAUAAAAUAAAUAAAGAUUCCAGAGCUAAGUUUCUUAUAACACAAUAUAAUGCGGCUUAUAAUUGUGGAACGACAUUUGAAAAUUAUCCCGCAUGUGUUUAUUUUGAACUGAAUUUCGAAAUUUAUUCCAAAGAGAAAUAACGAUUAUUUCUAACCUUAUGGAUGAAGUAUGAAAGGAUGAAUUGUGAAGAGUAAUGAUAAAUGGAAAAAUAAAAGUGUCCAGGGAUGGGAAUAGAACCCACAGUGUUCCGCUUACCGGGCAGAUGCCAUGUCCACUAGGCUACCCUGGACAUUUUUUUCCGUUCGUAAUUUACGAACACUGUGGGUUCGAUUCCCAUCCCUGGACACUUUUAUUUUUCCGUUUAUCAUUACACUUCACAAUUCACACACAUCCUUUCAUACUUCAUAAGGUUAGAAAUAAUCGUUAUUUCUCUUUGGAAUAAAUUUCGAUUUUUCGUUCAAAAGAAACACAUGCGGGAUAAUUUUCAAAUGUCGUUCUAAGUUUCUUGUUUAAUUCGAUUUCUCUAGCCUUCGGAUUAAAAUGUCCUUCAACAGGAGUAACUAAGAGUAAACUUCUAGCUACCUAGCUGGAUGUUAUACACACACACACAAAGCCUUUAUUAAGACAUUAGUCUUAUACAGAUUCUCCGUACAAGGUGCAAUAUCAGGAAAAGAGCAGCACAGGAAACCAGUAGUUCCGCAACUAUAUACAAUUAUUAGUAAUAAGGAAAAGUAAGAUUUAAUAUGAAAGGUCGACCCCUCGAUGUUUCGUCAUCAUUCUGAGGUGUAAGAACAAUAGCUUCCAAGUUUUCUUUUCUCCCUCUUUACACCUACUGCCUUGUAAAAAUUAUAUAGGGCCUGAGCAACUAGUCUGCUUGUUUGGGCACUGGUUAACAUCAUUUGGAUGGACCUAAGUUGGCUGAUGUCUACCAUUGAAAAGAAUGUCCUUCUCUCCUCACUAAUAUCUUGGCAUUCAUAGAUAUAAUGAGAUAGUUCAGUUUCCAUAUUUUCUUUGCAGAGAUCACAAAUCCAGCUGGAUGUUAUACUCCUAGUUACUCCUAUUGAAGAGGACAAGUUAACCCGAAAGUUAAGAGAUUGAACUGAAAGAUGACAUUUUCUCUCUUACAACAAACCGUGUUAAAAAUAAACACAGAUUUGAAAAUAAGCUAUCAAAAUUAAUUAUUCAAAUAUUUCGAAGCUAGAAACUUUUUUUUAGCCAUUUAAAAAUAUAAUAACUUUUACUUCAUAAUGAGUAGGUAUCUGGUAAAAUUAUUCAUGUAGAGAAUUUGAUAAGAACAUUUUGAGAUGAUAAAUAUUUAUUGAACUAAGCAUAUAGAAUAGUUGUAUAGGUGUAUGGUUUUCUGAUACAAGCUAGAGUCAUUUAGAUAAAUAAAGGGGGGUCGGUAGAAGGAAGGUCUAAAACGUUGGAUUUUCGACCGCUGACUCGGGUUCGAUUCCCGCAUUGGACACUUUUUCUGUUUUAAAAAAAAAUUCUCCAAUGGCCCCAGUUUCUUGCAAAAGUCCAACCUCACCAGCAAGUAACCAAACGGGGCUCUGUCACACUUGUAAGUGCAAAGUCGAACUGCUUUUCACAUGUGCAGACAUGUGGUGCACUUACAGCAAAAGCAGUCGCCUACUUCUACCCACCCUGAUUAUUAUGGCCUGUAACACGUGUACUAAGGAUGAGCAAAAAAAGAUAAAUAAAUCAUUCCAUUGGCUGGUGAUUGAUCACGUGACACAUACUAUCUAAACAAUUAUUUCUUCAAUAGCAUAAUCCUUUUGGCGAGCUUCACGUCAAGGUAAUGUUGUUUCUCUUUUCCUUUACGUUCUUAUAAAACAGUUAAGUACCAAUUUCAGACUUAUGAUAGAAAUUUCAAUGCUUUUUCCAAAUUUAUGCCAAAUUUUAGUGAAAUAUAACUAUUUUAACAUCAAUUUGUAUUUUGGAAUCAUAUGUUCUUGAUAUAGAACAGUUUUAAUCAAUUUCAAGAAAAUAUUUAAUUUUAAAAUACAAAUAUUUGAAAACUAUAUUAGUUGAAUCAUUUAGAAACUAUGUGUGAAUUAAAACAUGCUUUAGUUUGAAAAUACGAAGGAUUUGAACUUUUUUUUAAAGCAGUGAAUGAUCUAUUUAAAAAUUACUUUUUAUGAAUAUUUUUAUAACUAUAAUAUAUUCUGUAUUGUUAUUAUAAUUGCUUUUAGGUAGUUUUACAAUUUUUGUAUCGCUAUUUUUAAAUAUUCGUAUGCAAAUUUUGUUAAUAGUGUGUUCAUUUUGAUGAAUAAUUUAACAAAUUUUUAUCUUCUAAAUGUGGUUUUAUAAAUUCUUUAUCUUUCCAUAUUAUUUUAGUCAAUAUUUGAGUAAAAUUAAUCUAGCAGGUUUACAAUAGUAUUCUAAAACUUUUUCAGGAAUUUUCUUUUAUUUUCGCAAUGACUCUACUGAUAAUUUUUAAAUGUUAAUAAUCUCUUAAGAAUAAAAUAUAUUUUAUAAAUCAUUGCAGUUAGUAUAAAGUCUUUAUAAAGUUUAAAUUAUUUGUAUUAAAAGUAUCGCUAUAUAAGAGAAUUUUUGGUAAAUUUCAUAAAUAGAUUUAUGAUAUUUAAAGCAUUUGUUUUUGACAUUAUUUUCGAGUCCUCGGUAGUAUAGUGGUUAGUAUUCCCGCCUGUCACGCGGGCGACCGGUGUUCGAUUCCCCGCCGGGGAGCUUUUUUUUUUUUUUUUGGGGGGCUUAAAAAUCAUUUUAUUUUGGUUAGCAGCCCCGUAAAUAAAGAUAUUUCCGACUUCUCGUUUGAUCUGAGCUCUCCGAAAAAAAAAAAGUGAAAUCAUAUCAAAUAUCUACAAUAAAUGAAAGAAAAUUCUCUUUAGGGAAGAGUUACUUUUUAUAUAACGGCAAUAUAAGCUUUUUUUUUUCGGGCUUAAAAGUCUUUUGACAGGUAUAAAUAAGUAUGCUACUAAAUUUUUCUUCCAUUUUUAAUUUUACCGAAAGUAUAAUAAUAACUUUAUUUUUCAAAAGGUUACAAGUUUUUCUCUAAAAAGUGUAGCGAAUGGUCAGUCUAUUUACACAUUUUUAUUUACAGCUUCAAUAAAUAAUAACUGUAAAAGUAAACUAAAUAUAUUUACAUUUGCUAUCUUGACUCCUGGUAAGUGCUGUGGCCCUCGCAGAUAUGGUCCCCUGAUGUCCUGCAGCUCUCCAGCAGUCUUUCUAUGGCCUCUCCUGGUGGCUCCUCGAUAAAAUGGUCCCCUGGCUUUGAUCCAUUCUUAUCUGUCAGGUCUCCUGUCAUCUGCUCUAGGUCGUUCUCCUGGAUCUCUUCUAUGGCAGUCGUAUACCUGUGCUCCAUGUCUGGUGUUCCUCGUCUUCACACGCCAGCUCCCUACAUCGUUCCAACAAUCGAUCCAUGGUUUCCAUUUCUUUAUUUCUCUGGGACUUAUCGUGAGGUUCAUUCUUCUUUUCUGUUGAGAUAAUUUCCAUAGUCUUUUUUAGGACCAAGGAUUAGAUGUAUGCGAAGUCCCUUUUUCAUAUGUUUAUUUCCUUCCGAAAUUGUGUGUUAUAUUUUGUUACGAUUCCAUCCCAUGUUAAGACUAUCGGCACUACUUUUACGGACAUUUUUUCGGUUUGAGCCAUUUCCCUCGCCAGUAGCUAGUAUUUUCUUUUCUAUGUUAGCUCCGUAGUUUGGAUAUUGUCUUGGGAGGUAAUGCCUAUCUCUAUGAUUGUUAUGUCUUUUUCAUUUUGUCAUAUACUAUUAUAUCAGGUUUGUUAGCUCUGAUAUUGAUAUCGCUUAUCAUAGGCAAGUCCCUUAUUAUCUUGGCGUAUGAAUUUUCAAUUUUAGUUAUUUUGUGGAGCUUUAUCUUGUUGUUUUCAGUGAAAUUAUUAUUUCUUGACAGAUUAAAGUGGACGCAUCUCACCACUUCAUUAUGCCUCUCAGCGUAGUCGUAAGGAAGCAAUCUUCCACAGUUUGUAGCAAGGUGGUCCACCGUCCUCUAUACCUUUUCACAGUGACGGCAUUUCAGGUUUUUAUCCUUCGGGAACACGCUUCUAUCUUCUAUGAACAUAUAAAAACCUUCAUUUUGCGGAGUGUUGUUUCCCGUUUUGAGCCACUGUGAGGAUUCUAUCAUGUCCAAUAGCGGAUGCUCUUCAUUUUUGAAGAAUGUUUUGUUGAUUUUUUUCUGGCCAAUGAUUCCUCUUAUAUUUUCAAUCUGUUUUUCUUUUAGAGUCUUGAUUGUGAUGUCUUGGUUUUCCAGUUUAUAUUUGUUAUCAAUAAUUAACUGAGGGUGUGCGCGCAUUGUAUUUUCGCCCUGUUCACACAUCUUAAUAUCUUUCUUUCUCCUUGUGGUCUCCCCACCAAAUAUAUAUCUGUAGCUGCCCAGAAUAAUUCGUUCGUAUUUUUGGACCAAGUUCACCAACCUUCUUCCCAUUUCUUCGCGUUGAAGAUAUAACCUUUCUAUAUUCGCUUGCUUAAGGUGAAUUUUAUAUUUGCUCAGCGUUGUUCUCACUUUUUGGUCCAUCAUUUCUAGUUCUCGCUCACUAAACUCCACGAUAAUAAUAUUGAUAAUAAUUUAUCUUAUAGUUUAGUUGAACAUCUCAUUAAAUAGAAGAAACAAAAAUAAAUAUUAAUAGAGAGAGAAAAUAGAGGUAACCCGGGCUCCUGGAGCGUAAAACGCCAACUACCGGGUAAAUACUUAUAUUGUCGAAAUGGAUGAAUUACUGAAAGUUUUGGGAUAAUUCAAAACUGAUAAGCAAAGUCAUUAGAAGAUUUUUAAUCUUUAAAGACUGAUAAAUUGCUUUCAAAAUAUGAUUUUUUAAAUGGCACAAUUCUUCGAUAUAAAGGAUUUUUUUUUCAGUUUAUACGCUAUAUUUUUGCUUCUACAGACUACAAACACGUUUGUGGCUAAAGUUUUUUUUAACAUCGUUGAAUAUAUAAACUAUAUUUUCUUCUUCUUCUUUCUUAUCUCCACUCAAUCACACUAAGGUAUCAAGCUUGUGAAGCUUGAGACUUUUGAUGGUGUCUGCCGGGGAAGAGUAGAGCUCAUCAAUGGAUGAGUCAAUACAGUCAAUAAUAUGUUCCGGGGCCGCAGGUUGAGAAUUGCACUUAGUACAUGUGGGAAAACCUUGCAACCAUUCUGGAAAGUCAUUGUCCGUAGAUGACAAGACUUAAGUCUGGAAAUCAAAGACUGUUGUUCUCUUGGGAGGACAGAAUCGGUGUAAACUAUAUUUUGAAAAUGAUGCUCUUUAAUCAUAUCAAAAUAAUAUAAAAUUGUCAUACUAUCACAGAUUUACAUAUAAAUUCGUUUAUUCUUUUUUUUUUAAUUGUGAGGAGUCCAUUGAAUAUCUUGUGGAUCUCAUGGAAUAAAGAUUGCUCUAGACUGACGAGGGCCAUUAGCCAGAAACCAUGGUCUCUAGGUGGACGCUUCUGUUUGCUAAAGCUGGUGUUGUGGCUUUGUCAACGACCCUAAACCGCUAGUUUGUCGCGACGGUCAAUAGAUUGCGUCUAGUUUAGACGUUAAUUUUGACGGGAGAUGUGUCCUAUGCUUUUAUUGAUGUAUAGAUUAUUAUUUUUCUGAAACUGUUCGAUUUCCAUUCGUCUGUUUCAUUAUUAAUAUCAUCAAUAUAUUUCUAGAACUUUAUUUUUUCAUAGUAAUAUGGAAGUAAAUUGAGUCAUCUUCUUCUCUAAUCUCAUCAUUGCUUGAUCGUAGUCUAUUUAGUUUUUUGAGGUGGCUUGAAUUAGAAUCCCACCUAAAAAAACUACGAUCAAGCAAUGGUGAGAUUAGAGAAGAAGAUGACUCAAUUUACUUCCAUAUUACUAUGAAAAAAUAAAGUUCUAGAAAUAUUGAUGAUAUUAAUAAUUGAUUAUUAUAUUGUGGCAAAUAAAUAAUUUACAUAUAAUUAUCUAAUUUAAUUAUUCAAUGAAAAUAUUUAAAACAGAUUUAUUACUUUAAAUUUGUAAAAUCAUCAUUUAGUUGCCUAGCUUGCUUGUUCAAUAUUCUCUAGCUGUAGAUAGUUUUGUUUGUUGAUAAUUGUCGACUAGUCGUAUUGACGCCAUCAAUAAAUACUUUUACAUCUUAAGAUAUUCCAAGACUUGAUUUCUACGCUACAAAAUUUAUGCAAAAAACUGGAAUUUUACUUCAGAAUGGAAAUCGCUGAAUCCUCCAGACCUCUGCUUGACACCUACUGGGCUAAGUACAAGGUAGGUAUUUGCAUUAGCGAAUACUUUUAAUAUGUUUCAUAUCAUUCUAUUCGUUUAGAUUUUUCAAGGAGGAAAUAUCUUUAUUUACGGGAAUGCUAACCAGAAUUAAUGAUUUUUGAGCCCCGAUGGACGCAUAAAGCGGAAUAUAUACAAAGUAUUAUGUACAAAGCACUGUUGGAGGGGCCUGGGGAUGGGUGGUCAGGGGAUAAUCGCCGGGUGAGGCCAGGAGAGCCGGGAUGUAGAGGAGGGGGGCAGGGUGGUGAUCCACCAGAAUGGAUGAUAUUUGAGCCCCGAUAGACGCAUAAAGCGGAAUAUAUACAAAGCACUAUAUACAUUUAAAAUACAAUAUAACGCGGCUGAUGAUUGUAAAACGAAAAUUAAAAUUAUACCGCGAAUGUUUCUUUUAAAAAUCGAAAUUUAUUUUCAAAGAGAAAUAGCGACAUUUCAUUCAUUGCACUGUUGGAGGGUUCUGGGGAUGGGUGGCCAGGGGAUCAUCGCCAGGUGAGGCCAGGAGAGCCGGGAUGUAGAGAAGGGGGACAGGGUGGUGAUCCGCGGAGAUCAGGGGAAGACGGGUCCAAUAGUAUUGAGUCCAGGGGUGACCGUGGAGAGCAGACAGACCGCAAUGCUAUGUAUGUUGCAGCCAGAGCGGACAAAGUAAAUAUCUACAAAGUAAAGAGAGAGAUUGAGAUUGAAACUACUUUGUUUCAAUGUCCAUUUAAGAUUAAAAGAUAGCGGAGCGUGGUUGCUAUCUUUAGAUUUGUUAAUAUUGUGGCAAAGUAUUUAAUAUUUUAUCAACAAAGUAUCAUUUUUGAUGUUUAUAUUUUGCUAUUCUGCAAACUUCCCUCAUUGUUUAUCUUUUUUUCAAACUGCCACGUGGAAAAUUAGGAAAGACAAACUUCAUGAUGACACAAUAAUUUAUUUUAAGACAAGAACAAACUAUGAAAGUCUGGUCAUCUACGGACAAUGACUUUCCAGAAUGGUUGCAAGAUUUUCUCACUAUGUACUAAGUGUCAACCUGCAACCCCAAAACACAUUAUUGUCUGUAUUGACUCAUCCAUUGAUGAGCUCUACUCUUCCCCUGAAGAUACCAUCAAAAGUCUCAAGCUUUACAAGCUUGAUACCUUAAUAUGAUUGAGUGGAGAUAAGAAAGAAUAAAAUGACAAACUAUGAGUGAUAAAAAAAAAGAUAAGCAAUGAGGGAAGUUUACAGAGUAAAAAA
This is a non-coding RNA of Cordylochernes scorpioides, 9022 nucleotides long. Lineage: Eukaryota; Metazoa; Arthropoda; Arachnida; Pseudoscorpiones; Chernetidae. The record is from the annotation of a GenBank genome assembly.